RNAcentral lists this ribosomal RNA (384 nucleotides) under uncultured bacterium. RNAcentral describes it as "bacterial SSU rRNA". It matches the Rfam family "Bacterial small subunit ribosomal RNA", at positions 29 to 416 of the family's 1533-position model. The record is from RNAcentral.
AUUGAACGCUGGCGGCAUGCUUUACACAUGCAAGUCGAACGGUAACAGGCCGCAAGGUGCUGACGAGUGGCGAACGGGUGAGUAAUGCAUCGGAACGUGCCCAGUCUGGGGGAUAACGCAGCGAAAGCUGCGCUAAUACCGCAUACGAUCUAUGGAUGAAAGCGGGGGGACCGUAAGGCCUCGCGCGAUUGGAGCGGCCGAUGUCAGAUUAGGUAGUUGGUGGGGUAAAGGCUCACCAAGCCAACGAUCUGUAGCUGGUCUGAGAGGACGACCAGCCACACUGGGACUGAGACACGGCCCAGACUCCUACGGGAGGCAGCAGUGGGGAAUUUUGGACAAUGGGCGCAAGCCUGAUCCAGCAAUGCCGCGUGCAGGAAGAAGGCC